Molecule: ribosomal RNA, 328 nt
Filed under: Bacteroides sp.
Lineage: Bacteria; Pseudomonadati; Bacteroidota; Bacteroidia; Bacteroidales; Bacteroidaceae
Description: partial 23S ribosomal RNA
Rfam family: Bacterial large subunit ribosomal RNA
Source: RNAcentral
GAUCAAGUGUCUUAAGGGCAUUUGGUGGAUGCCUUGGUAUGCACAGGCGAUGAAGGACGUGAUACGCUGCGAUAAGCGUCGGGGAGCUGCGAAUAAGCUUUGAUCCGGCGAUUUCCGAAUGGGGAAACCCACCUUAGAUACUUAGAAAUAUCAAAUAGCAGGAUGGCUGAAAUCUUCGGAUUUUGGUUAGAGUGCUGUUUGACUUUCUAAGUAUCACAUAAAAGGUAUCUUAAACUGAAUACAUAGGUUUAAGAAGCGAACGCGGGGAACUGAAACAUCUAAGUACCCGUAGGAAAGGACAUCAACCGAGACUCCGUUAGUAGCGGCG